CAAUAUCUAAACCCCUAAACCGCCAUACCUAGUUCAUCAAAAAUUGCAAACGUUAAUUGUUCACAGAAGAGUGGCACCUUUAGCAACAACAAUAGUGCUGUUCUACAGUACUUGGGUCUUCAAAGUGAAAAUGACAUAGGGAUCCUUCCAUUUUAGCUGUUACAAAUCAAGCAGCGAACAUAUAUACGUACACUAGCAUAUGUCGUACGUGAUCGAGCUUUAAUUUAACUGAAAUAGCUAGGUAGAAUUACAUUACGUUAUUUUAUCUUGACAAAUCAAAUGCAUAUUGAGAGAAAACACUUCACCAUAAGGCUCUUAAUUAACUCUAACAAUGCAGUCCAUGCAAGAGAUGACGGAGCAUGCUGCAUGCACAUAACUAAUGGCAACUCUAGUAUGCGUCGACCAAUAGGUAGUGAAUAAAUCCUGGAGACAUGACAGAAAUUAGACCCUAAAUUAAUCAAAUUAUUUUUUAGUUAUCAUAUUGGCCUCUCAAGCUUUUUAUCCUUAAUUUUUCAUCGUUCCAUAUAGUACGUACGUAGUUUCUGACUUUCAUUGAUGCUAUUAUAUUUUUCAUGCUAAUCUCGUAUUUUCAUUUCUUUUUGUUUUUGAUGUGCGGGCAUUUUGAAUUAAUGUACCAGUUCGUAUAGUAACCCGGCCAUUUUGGAACCCAUAAAAAAGCCAUGCAACCAAGAAAUCAUUUCUCGUUGCAAAAAAAAAAAAAGAAAAAAAAAAAGGACCAUUCUGUGUAUAUGUUUAUCACAAUGAGAGAGACUGAGAGAGGGAGAGGAAGAGGGAGAGAUGUAUUACAGAGAAAAUCAGUGUUGUGCGUGGAGGCCUUUGGCAUCAACAAAGCUAGAACUACAAGCGUCCCAUAAUAAGCCAUGUUUGGCUGGAAUGGAAUUGUCGACAGAAACAAACGGAGAGAAUAAAAGGUGGAAUGAGUGAGGGCAGUGCUUUCUCGAUCAACUUUUUAUUUUAUUUUUUUAUCAGGUUAACCUUCAUUGAUAAACGAAGAGUACAAGAGUUCGGAACCAAAGUUACCGGCAAACACCCGGAUCACAAAGUUCACAGGAUUUCUCGAUCAACUUGAAUCAAUUAUGGUUGACCGUGCGGAACUGUAUGUGUUGGACUUGCAUUAAAUGACAAGUCAUUCAAGUUUGCUUCCUCUUUUCAAAGGAAAUAACUUGGGUCACUUAUGGGUGACAAACACCAAUGUGAGAUGGACAAAUGUCAACAAUAAUCAUAAAUAAACAUGUUAAAUACCCAAAACCCCCAUAUUAUAUUCUUAAAUUACAGCCAAACCUUUUAAAAUAGAUAUGUGUCAUAUGUUUAUUGGUUGUGGUCACCUUAAGGUGACAAGCCCUUGUCACCGAAGUCGAGUUCAUUUUCAAAUUUGAUCACUUUUUUGUUUUUCUAGUUUUUGUCCCUCACCAUUGUGCGUUGUGCCCAAGAUGUCAACUAGCAGAUGAGAUGUCUUUGUACGUAACAUGGUGAUUACGUGCAAUUAGUGUUGCGGUGUUGGAGAAAGCGAGCUUUUAUGAGAAGUUGAAUACGGGUACGUGGUUCAAUUUCAUUGAUGAAAUGAAGAUGUUGGUAAUUAUUAUGUGAUAUAAUUAGAAGGAGAGAAAUAUGGUGAUGCAUGCAUGGUAGCCAACCUAGACCCCCUGAUAUAUUGUUCACUAUUUGUGUGUCUAUUUGGGAGAGUAUGAUGGUUUCUCAAGUGGAUGGGGUGUUGAAUGAGGCUAGGUUACCCACGGUGUGCCCGCGGUGGCAGACACCUAGUCCAAGCUCUUGGAAAGUAAACUGUGACGCUUCUGUGGUAAAUAAUGGUGAGAGGGUUGGUCUGGGAGUGGUUAUAAGGAACUGGGCAGGUGAUUUGAGGUUGGCAGUGGGUGAGCGUAGUUUGAGGAGGCUUAACCCACUUGCAGCUGAGCUCCAGGCAAUUAUUCUGGGGUUGGAAACGGUUAUUAAUUGAAAGAAGUUGGCCAAUUUCUUGCAUUGAAACGGAUUGCUUGGAGACAGCUAGGCUUGUGAAUAGAAGUGCGAAAAUUCUUCUACGCACAAAGUGUAAUUGAACCAAGCAACUAAUAUAUAAUAUUUUGAUCCGAUCAUCUAUGUCGUAUUAUCAUGCAUGUAUUCUAAUACCGUUAAUAUAAUUGAAAAAAAAAAAAAUUACUAAGUGUGUCUAAUACAGGAGAUGAGGACGUAGGGUCAAAUAAGAUCGAGGUACUCUUAUUAUGAGCGUUUAUGAGGUACUCUUAUUAUGAGCGUUUAUGAGAUACUCUUAUUAUGAGCGUUUAAUUUGAUCGGAUCAAAAAUGAAAAUGAAAGGAAGAAAUUUAAGGUCUCUAGUCUUCAUUGGAUCUUCGCACAUGACGAUUUGAGGACUUGCAUAUUAAUGGUACAAGUACAUCUUGGUGUGUAGAAUCCGCUACGGAUGCAAAUAGGGCGGCUCAUGUUGUGGCAACUAAAGUAGCCCGUUUAGAGGGGCGUCGUUUUUUUGUUAGGGGUUGGGCCCGAUUGACUCAUUAAUGUCAUCAAUGGUGACAGACCCGUAACUGACUAUGGUAGUAGGGGAGCAUGUAGGACAACUUUGUCUACCACCGAUAUUUCUCUUUGUUUGCAAUGUUCUUAUUUUUUUUCAACAAGAGUCUAUUGUGAGUCGAAUUUAUCAUGUCUCACACAAAGCGGAAACUUAUGUCAAUGUACCAAAUUUAGUCACCUCUUGUGCUAAUAACUGCUUGGGUUUGUGUCCUAGUCCGCUACAUGGGCAUCAUUUAGAGCUCAUAACACUUUAUUAGUGACAGUCUCAGUAUAAAUUUUUAAUUUCUUUUUUUGUUACAAUUUCAGUUUUAUUUUUGUUUAUUAUCAAAUGUAGUUUUCAUAAGAAAGAUCACAAAUUAUGUUGUGAACAUACCUUACCCUCCAAGGAAUAGGUUCCGCAAGUAUUCCUAUUUUUUAUCCAAAUCACAAGAUUUUCUUAUCCUUUCCUACCAAGGAAACAAGAAAGUAUUAUCCUCCUCACAAGAGGUUUAGUACUUGCUUUACGCCUAUAAAUAAGGGCCUUAUUAGUAAUGCCAACAUCCACAAUCAGUGGCGGAUCCAUGACUAAAAUCUCACAUGGGCUAAAUGCAACGCAAAAAAAAAUUUAACCAACAGUGCGAAAAAUUUUGGUUCAUUAAAAAAGAACACACAUACAUAAGGGGACGUAGCAAAUCUUACCCUCAAACGCAUUUACAUGAACAAAAAUUAGACACAAUAUAAUACAAGAAACACAAUUAAAAACUAACUAAACUGUACUCUACGAGGCCCCAAAUUAAAGCUUCAAAAUCUUUAAUCACCAUCUCAUUGUCAACUGCUUCAACAAAUUCUUUUUCAAUAUGAAGCACCAUGCAAUCAUCAAGAAACUCAUCCUCUAUCUUGUUUCUAAGUUUGUUUUUGAUGAUGUUCAUAGAUGAAAAAGCUCUCUCAGUGGUUGCAGUAGAAACAAGAAGAGUAAACACUUAAACAAAUCAACCUAUAGAUCAUAGGAUAGAAGUCUAAUUUUCUUCUUUAAACAAGUUGCCGACACAAAUCAGAUAUAAAAUAUAAGGUGUGGAAUGCUACAUCCUGAGUCAUAUCUUUCUUAUAAUAUGCACACUCUAAUUCCAAAGAAAGAAAGUCAUCUUGCACAAAAUCUUGAGGAUAAAAGCUUUUAGCAAGAAGGAGUACCUUAGCAAGAACUUGAACAUGAUGAUGGUCGAACUUUACUGAACCAUGUGCAGAUAUCUUUUGAUCUAGGCCUUUUGACACGACUAAUUUGUUCAUCUGACAUUUUGUAAUUUCAAAUAAAAUUUCCAGCAAUUCAGCAAUUCAUUACUUAACAAGACAACAAUUCAAUUGAAUAAGCAUACUAGCAGCCUAGUUCAUUCAAUUGACUUCAAAUUCUAUUUUUUUUUUUCGAUUUCAUACUUCAAAUUCAAAUUCUAUAUUAAGAAAGAACACAAAUACAAUGGUCUCAGACUCUCAGUGAACACAAAUACCCAGAAGGAACACAAGUAAUAAGAAAUAAGAAAUAAGAAAUAAGAAUACACACCUGGACCUGGUCUCAGUGGUCUGCAGCCGAGCAGGAGCAGAGCAGCAGAUGGCGAGCAGGCGAAACAGCUGAGCAGUCGCUCACGCAGUCACGCUCGUGUUUCGACUUUGGAAGUUUGGAUCUGAGAGACUGAGACGAGUCGUAUGGCUGGACUGCUGGAGCGACACACUCACACACAGUCGUAUGGCUAAUUUUUUUUUAUUGGGUCUGGUAGAAUUUUCGGCCCAAAGAUCUCACUAGGCUCUAGCCCAGGCCGCCACUGUCCACAAUGACCUGGGACGUUCUUCAAUCUUUGAGUUGAAAACCUGUAACUGGUAAGGUCUACUUCUUUUGAGUUCUACUUGUUUAUUUUUUUUCUCGGUAAUGGUUGAUGAUGUGUACUUCAAAUACCGUAUAGGGCAAGCUCUGCUCUGUAGUUUGUACACACAAUGGAUAAAGUCCGCCUUAUACAUUGAUCUUGGUAAACGUUGAAAUUAGAUACAGUUGAUGGAGUUAGAAAAGAGGAUUUUGAACGAAAUCUUACCAUAUCAUUCUGGAAGUGUAGUGGAUUAACGACUUGACGUUAAUAUGUUUGAAGUUCUUGUCAAUUAAUAUAUAUACAUGAGUUAGCACAAUUACAUGGUACAAAAGCAAUUGUUGGAUCAUAGACACAAAACUUUUCACAUUUUAAAUUUAAGUUGUUAAUCCGUGAAAAUUCCAGAAUAAUAUGGUAGGAUUUUAUUCUAGUGUCGACUCUCUCUAUUAAUCUUCAUUAACAAUAUACAAC
This 4840-nucleotide long non-coding RNA is filed under the name Fragaria vesca (wild strawberry). Its description in RNAcentral is "long non-coding RNA (FVES_LNC003588)". Lineage: Eukaryota; Viridiplantae; Streptophyta; Magnoliopsida; Rosales; Rosaceae. The record is from RNAcentral.